UACGGGGGGAGCAAGCGUUGUUCGGAUUUACUGGGCGUAAAGGGCGCGUAGGCGGCCUCUGCAAGUCGACUGUGAAAUCUCCGGGCUUAACCCGGAACGGUCAGCCGAUACUGCAGGGCUAGAGUGCAGAAGGGGCAACUGGAAUUCUCGGUGUAGCGGUGAAAUGCGUAGAUAUCGAGAGGAACACCUGCGGCGAAGGCGGGUUGCUGGGCUGACACUGACGCUGAAGUGCGAAAGCCAGGGGAGCAAACGGG
Molecule: ribosomal RNA, 254 nt
Filed under: uncultured bacterium
Lineage: Bacteria
Description: partial 16S ribosomal RNA
Rfam family: Bacterial small subunit ribosomal RNA
Source: RNAcentral